This 422-nucleotide ribosomal RNA is filed under the name uncultured bacterium. RNAcentral describes it as "bacterial SSU rRNA". It matches the Rfam family "Bacterial small subunit ribosomal RNA", at positions 355 to 774 of the family's 1533-position model. The record is from RNAcentral.
UAAGGAAUAUUGGUCAAUGGAGGCAACUCUGAACCAGCCAUGCCGCGUGCAGGAAGACGGCCCUCUGGGUUGUAAACUGCUUUUAUUCGGGAAUAAACCUAUCUACGUGUAGAUAGCUGAAUGUACCGAAGGAAUAAGGAUCGGCUAACUCCGUGCCAGCAGCCGCGGUAAUACGGAGGAUCCAAGCGUUAUCCGGAUUUAUUGGGUUUAAAGGGUGCGUAGGCGGCCUAUUAAGUCAGGGGUGAAAGACGGUAGCUCAACUAUCGCAGUGCCCUUGAUACUGAUGGACUUGAAUGAAAUAGAGGUAGGCGGAAUGUGACAAGUAGCGGUGAAAUGCAUAGAUAUGUCACAGAACACCGAUUGCGAAGGCAGCUUACUAUGGUUUUAUUGACGCUGAGGCACGAAAGCGUGGGGAUCAAACA